RNAcentral lists this ribosomal RNA (500 nucleotides) under uncultured bacterium. RNAcentral describes it as "partial 16S ribosomal RNA". It matches the Rfam family "Bacterial small subunit ribosomal RNA", at positions 30 to 523 of the family's 1533-position model. The record is from RNAcentral.
AUUGAACGCUGGCGGAAUGCUUUACACAUGCAAGUCGAACGACAGCACGGACUUCGGUCUGGUGGCGAGUGGCGAACGGGUGAGUAAUGUAUCUGAACGUGCCCAGUCGUGGGGGAUAACGUAGUGAAAAUUACGCUAAUACCGCAUACGAUCUAUGGAUGAAAGCGGGGGAUCGCAAGACCUCCCGGGAUUGGAGCGGCCGAUAUCAGAUUAGGUAGUUGGUGGGGUAAAGGCCCACCAAGCCAACGAUCUGUAGCUGGUCUGAGAGGACGACCAGCCACACUGGAACUGAGACACGGUCCAGACUCCUACGGGAGGCAGCAGUGGGGAAUUUUGGACAAUGGGCGAAAGCCUGAUCCAGCCAUUCCGCGUGCAGGAUGAAGGCCCUCGGGUUGUAAACUGCUUUUGUACAGAACGAAAAGGUUUCUACUAAUACUAGGAGCUCAUGACGGUACUGUAAGAAUAAGCACCGGCUAACUACGUGCCAGCCGCCGCGGUAA